CCUACGGGAGGCUGCAGUAAGGAAUAUUGGUCAAUGGACGCAAGUCUGAACCAGCCAUGCCGCGUGGAGGAUGAAGGCCCUCUGGGUUGUAAACUUCUUUUCUCUGGGACGAAACCCCCGAUUUCCAUCGGGCCUGACGGUACCAGAGGAAUAAGCACCGGCUAACUCCGUGCCAGCAGCCGCGGUAAUACGGAGGGUGCAAGCGUUAUCCGGAUUCACUGGGUUUAAAGGGUGCGUAGGUGGGCAAGUAAGUCAGUGGUGAAAUCUCUGGGCUUAACCCGGAAACUGCCAUUGAUACUAUUUGUCUUGAAUUCUCUGGAGGUAAGCGGAAUAUGUCAUGUAGCGGUGAAAUGCUUAGAUAUGACAUAGAACACCCAUUGCGAAGGCAGCUUACUACGGAGACAUUGACACUGAGGCACGAAAGCGUGGGGAUCAAACAG
This 440-nucleotide ribosomal RNA is filed under the name uncultured bacterium. RNAcentral describes it as "bacterial SSU rRNA". It matches the Rfam family "Bacterial small subunit ribosomal RNA", at positions 338 to 775 of the family's 1533-position model. The record is from RNAcentral.